GACAGAUAGAUACUGGUCAGUUAGAGACAGUAGGACAGAUAGAUACUGGUCAGUUAGAGACAGUAGGAUAGAUAGAUACUGGUCAGUUAGAGACAGUAGGAUAGAUAGAUACUGGUCAGUUAGAGACAGUAGGACAGAUAGAUACUGGUCAGUUAGAGACAGUAGGAUAGAUACUGGUCAGUUAGAGACAGUAGGACAGAUAGAUACUGGUCAGUUAGAGACAGUAGGAUAGAUACUGGUCAGUUAGAGACAGUAGGAUAGAUACUGGUCAGUUAGAGACAGUAGGACAGAUAGAUACUGGUCAGUUAGAGACAGUAGGACAGAUACUGGUCAGUUAGAGACAGUAGGACAGAUAGAUGGUCAGUUAGAGACAGUAGGACAGAUACUGGUCAGUUAGAGACAGUAGAUAGAUACUGGUCAGUUAGAGACAGUAGGACAGAUACUGGUCAGUUAGAGACAGUAGGACAGAUAGAUACUGGUCAGUUAGAGACAGUAGGAUAGAUACUGGUCAGUUAGAGACAGUAGGACAGAUAGAUACUGGUCAGUUAGAGACAGUAGGAUAGAUAGAUACUGGUCAGUUAGAGACAGUAGGACAGAUAGAUACUGGUCAGUUAGAGACAGUAGGACAGAUAGAUACUGGUCAGUUAGAGACAGUAGGAUAGAUAGAUACUGGUCAGUUAGAGACAGUAGGAUAGAUAGAUACUGGUCAGUUAGAGACAGUAGGACAGAUAGAUACUGGUCAGUUAGAGACAGUAGGAUAGAUAGAUACUGGUCAGUUAGAGACAGUAGGAUAGAUAGAUACUGGUCAGUUAGAGACAGUAGGAUAGAUACUGGUCAGUUAGAGACAG
Long non-coding RNA from Oncorhynchus tshawytscha (Chinook salmon), 848 nucleotides. NCBI's taxonomy places the organism in Eukaryota, Metazoa, Chordata, Actinopteri, Salmoniformes, Salmonidae. The record is from Ensembl.